UCAUUUCCUUACUUUUCUUCGUGAGAAAUGCUAAGUAGCGGGAGGGACGAGAGAAGGACGAGAGAAACGGCAUUCUCUCCUGCCGUUUCCUCCUCUCGUUUCCUCUCACUUAUUACACAUAAAAAAAAAAAGAAAUGAUCAAAUGAAUAAACAAAUGAUGUUGGAAUUUUUCACGUGAGGGAAAGUGAAAAAGUCAAGGAGAGAGGAAAGCUCUCUUUCACUUUUUCACUUCCCCCCACGUUUCACUUUCCUCUCUCCUUGAAUUUUUCACUUUCAUUUUCCUUCAUUUUCGUCAGUUCUCACGCAGCUACACUUUCAGGCUUCUUCUCACGCAGCUUCACUUUCAGGCUUCUUCUCACGACCUCCUCCCUCUUUCCCUCUCUCGGCUCUCUCGGUAAAGAUUAAGUGAGCAGUGGCUUUUUUCAGCUUAUUCUUUUUGUUUUAAUUUUUUGUUACGUGAAAGAUCUGGCGUGGAAUUUAAGUGUAUUAUAGAAGUUAAGUUUGUUUUUUUUUUUUUGUGUUGUUGCGGGAUCUCGUUGUAAUUUAAGCUUCUGAAAUUUAAACAAUGUAAAUUUUGUUGCGGGUUAUGUUAUGAAUUUUGUUUUAUUUCAACUUUGGUGUUUAUGUUGUGAAUUUUGUUGCGGGUUAUGUUAUGGUAUGCAGAAGUUAUUUCAAUAUUAUUUGUUUUAGAAAUUUUGGUGGGUCUCGUUGGAACCUCCGAUUUUGUUGCGGGUUAUGUUACGAAUUUUAUUUUAUUUGGUGUUUAUGUUGUGAAUUGCCGUCAUAUGUUGUGGGUUAUAUUAUGAAUUUUAUUUUAUUUCAAUACUAUUUGUUUUAGAAAUUUUGUAAAUUUAAUUUUUAUGAAACUGAAUAUAAAUGUUAAUUAUUUUGUAGGAAUGGAAAAUUUUGAAACUGAGCGUGUAGUUGAAGAUGUGCCACUGGAAAAAUUUGAGCCAACUCUUGGCAUGUUAUUCGAUGGUUAUGAGGAAAUGUUUGAGUUUUACAAAGCAUACGGUAGACAAGAAGGGUUUCCGUGAAGAAGCUAACAAGUAAGAAAGUGAAGAAGCUAACAAGUAAGAAAGGGAGUUAUUGUGUUGGUUGACGAUUUCUUGUGUUAUUGUGUUGGUUGGCGAUUUCUUCUGUUUGUCUUUGUUUAUUUUUGAACUGUCUUUUAACUGUCUGAACCGAGAUGCAUCAAGUUCUUAUUUGUAAAUUUCUCUUUGAACUGUCAGAAUUGGGAUUUAAAUUAGAAAAAGUGGCAAAUUAAAAAAUCAUUUCAACUGCUAUUGGUUAUUGUGUUGUUUUUGUUUGUUGGCAUAUGCAUGUAUUUUCAUUUUCCAAUAUAUAUGAAUUAUAAUUACAAUACAAAAUUCAGUUCAUAGUAUAAAUUAAAAGAACUUAAAAAUAAUUCUUGAAUAUAAAACAUAGUAAAAUAAUUACAAGUAUUCUAAUCAAAUCAUAACACGGUGUUUGUCUUCUUCGAAGUUCAUCAUUAAACAAUCCCCUCUGCGCUUCACAUAAUUGAAACUUUACAGACAAGCAUUCAAUCUCCAAUGCCAGCUUUUUAACUUCCUCCACUAACAAAUUAAUUUUCUCUUAACUGCAUUUACGGUCUUCUGCCCAUUCAAAUUUCUUUCAUCCUCUACAUUUCCAAAAUUUGCGAUUUGGAUUCUUUGUAGUACGUGACGUGAACAACUCCAUUUGUUCACCGCAUUCGUUACAUAUUUGCAAUGAAUUCCGAGUUUCAUUUGUACUAGAUGACAUCGUCAUUCAUAAACUACUUAAACUGCCAAAAAAUAAAAAACAGCAGGCAUACAAUCCUGGAAGUUAAAAACAGAGCAAAGCAAAAAUUACAGCAACCAUGCAAUUCAUAAACUACUUAAACUGCCAAAAAAUAAAAACCACCAGACAUACAAUCCUGGAAGUUAAAAACAUAGCAAAGCAAAAAUUACAGCAACCAUGCAAUUCAUAAACUACUUAAACUGCCAAAAAAUAAAAAACACCAGGCAUACAAUCCUGGAAGUUAAAAACAGAGCAAAGCAAAAAUCAUAUCCAAAGAUAUCUGAUUCCACAUAUUAUUUUACCAAACAAUUACAUUUUUCCACUUCAUAUGACAAGAACAAACAAACCAUUAUAUCCCAAUUGACAGGAACCAGAAAUUUCAAACAAAUGUUCAAUAAACCAUCAUGCCCUCAAAUUCUUUUCUUUAUUCACUCUCUCAGAUUGCUAAUUUUUGGGGAUUAAUUUCCAUUGCUAUCAAUUAGCCUAUUUAUAAGCUCGGAGCACAAUUUUAUAGCCACACAAUUUUCCUUCACCUGCUAAGCACCAUACUCAGGACAUAUAGCCUAAUUUUUCCACACAAAAACAAUAUUAAGUUCUCUGCGUGGAUGUCAAGUUAUUUCCCAUAAUAAAGAAUGAAUUGUUUAAUCAAUGUACUCCUACCCAAUUUUAUUGAAAGGAGAAUUGAGUCCCAGCACACUCAAGGAAACUUAAGUGCAUGGCGCCAGUGAGACAUGAGCCAAUUGGCUGGAUUUUAAGUGUAACGCAGUAACACUUAAACUUUCAAAAUGAACAAUAUUAAAAAAAAAACAGAUGAAUAAUAUUACAGACACGACUUCUCAAAAACAGGCUAACCAAAGACGUUUUUUAAUUUUUAUUUCUGCGAUUAAUAUCAAACAACAAAUGAGAUACCUCGGGGGAGGACGAACAUCUAGCCAGCAGCCCCUUCGUUAAAGAACUUUAGCCGAGAAAAAAAUAAUUACUAGUGCAAAGCCUUCCCUUUUUGUACGAAGCAAAGGUAAUCAAGAACUUUAGCCGAGAACUUUAGCCGUGAGGGAUCUGGAAGCGUGAGGCACUUUAGCCGUAAGCCGUGAGGGAUCUGGAAGCGUGAGGCACGCCGGAAGCCGUGAGGGAUCUGGAAGCGUGAGGCACGCCGGAAUCCGUGACGGAGCUUCUGGAAGCGUGAGGGAGAGAAGCUAGUGAGGUGAGGGAGAGAGGAAAGUGAGGGAGAGAGGAAGAGUGAGGGCUAGAGACAAAAUGCUAAGAUUUCCCUCUGCACGAAGUGAUAAAAAAGCAGUCUUUCUUUAUUAUUUUUUAUUCAUUCUUUAGCGAGAGGAACGAGAAGCGAAACGACAAGAGAGAAUGCCGUUUCUCUCGUCCUUCUCUCGUCCCUCCCGCUACCUAGCAGCACUCUUUCUUCGUAGGAAACACCACCUUCCUUUCAGCAGCAAUUAUCUACCAAUUUGGCGUUUCCUCCUCCGUUGCAGUUGAAGCAAUUGCAAUGCACAUAAAGUUUUACGUAAGGGAAGAGUUCUCAAACGGCACUAAAAAAAAAAAAAAAAAACAAAUCAAGCCCCAGUGCUCGUCAUUAGGAGCAAUGAAAAGAAAAAAUAAAUAAGAUGAGAAACAUAAACGAGACGAAAAAUAGGAGGCACCGAACUCAAAGAUCUAUCAAAUCCUCCUUUCCAGGCUUGCGCAUCAUCAAGAGAGUAGUUUUCGUAUCCUUUGACAUCCUCCUCGAGGUGGAAAAACGUAAGUUUAAUAAUAAACUCAGAUUAUUUUAAUCUGUUCAGCGCAUGUACUUCAAAAUCAUAUUGAAAUCAAUGGCAAUAGAAAUACAUAUUCUGUUAAUUUCGUCUACUUUUACUAAUAAAAUUUCCCCUUUGUGUUACAAUCCAUCUCUCGUCGC
Molecule: long non-coding RNA, 3688 nt
Filed under: Citrus maxima (pomelo)
Lineage: Eukaryota; Viridiplantae; Streptophyta; Magnoliopsida; Sapindales; Rutaceae
Description: long non-coding RNA (CMAX_LNC000136)
Source: RNAcentral